UUUUGGUUGAGCGUGUAGCCACUGAUGCACCACUGCUUCAUCCCAUGAAAAUCUUCUUCACCUUAAGGCUUUUUUAAGCGUCCAAAAAGGUGGAAAUCAGAUGGUGCUAAAUCCGGACUAUAAGCGUCUCUCAGACAUGUCAGAUUACUACCCUUCCCACCCUCACCCUUUCUAACCAAAAUAUAAAAGUGAGGAAACUUUUUGAAGAUCCCUUGUAUAUACUUUGUUUGUUUUAUUACUAUUUCUACAGCACCCACCGUGUGGCUCCAGUUCCUGGACGGUUUCAUUCCAGAUGGGCUCAAUAUGGAUACAGUUCAGCAAGUGUUCGGCAGAAGUGGAAUCUCGACUCCAGUGUGUGAAGUGGGAGGAAAAAUCAGAGGACUGGAAGGCCUGACUGUCUAAGUCAUCAGUCUGGCCAAACCGGUCGUAGGAUUUCCUGCGUUCCUCAUUCGACAAGAUCUAGCAAAAACAAAGCAGGUUAUGUGUGGAGCAAUAUAAAGCAGGGCAGAACAACAGACAAUAGAAUGGAUAUGAAAUAAAAAGAACAUCAGACAGAUGAAAUAAAACAAUAAAUAUAUAAAGACUUAUCACCAGGUUUUUAAGGGAAUGUUUUAUCUAUUUGGAUACAAAUGUCUGGUAAAUGCCACAAAUAUCAAUGAAAAUAAUUUGUGUUGUUUUAUGAGUCACUACCUUUAAUAAAAAACAUACCUCAUA
This is a long non-coding RNA of Trichomycterus rosablanca, 714 nucleotides long. RefSeq lists it as uncharacterized. The transcript is spliced from 2 exons. The record is from RefSeq and is a predicted model, not a curated record. NCBI's taxonomy places the organism in Eukaryota, Metazoa, Chordata, Actinopteri, Siluriformes, Trichomycteridae.